RNAcentral lists this ribosomal RNA (249 nucleotides) under Triticum aestivum (bread wheat). RNAcentral's name for it is "partial small subunit ribosomal RNA". The record is from RNAcentral. Lineage: Eukaryota; Viridiplantae; Streptophyta; Magnoliopsida; Poales; Poaceae.
AUGUCCAACGGACUAACAUCUUCGGUGGCAGCAUGGUGGAACGAACGUGGUGGUUUGGUAGGAGUCAACAAGAAGGCCUAUAAUUCUUUGAAGAUGUUAGUCUGUUGGGCACUCUGGAAUGAGAGAAAUGUGAGGGUGUUUCACAACAAGGCCUCCUUGCCCACACACGUUGCGUCAAUCAAAGCGGAGGCGAAACUCUGGGUACUUGCAGGGGCAAAAUCUCUCGGUAGCAUUUUACCGGGAGAGUGA